Molecule: ribosomal RNA, 254 nt
Filed under: uncultured bacterium
Lineage: Bacteria
Description: partial 16S ribosomal RNA
Rfam family: Bacterial small subunit ribosomal RNA
Source: RNAcentral
CACGUAGGGUGCGAGCGUUGUCCGGAAUUAUUGGGCGUAAAGAGCUCGUAGGCGGUGUGUCGCGUCGGCCGUGAAAACCUGCAGCUUAACUGUGGGCUUGCGGUCGAUACGGGCAUCACUGGAGUUCGGCAGGGGAGACUGGAAUUCCUGGUGUAGCGGUGAAAUGCGUAGAUAUCAGGAGGAACACCGAUGGCGAAGGCAGGUCUCUGGGCUGACACUGACGCUCAUGCACGAAAGCGUGGGGAGCAAACAGG